Roseovarius nanhaiticus is the source of this 81-nucleotide regulatory RNA element. It matches the Rfam family "chrB-a RNA". The record is from Rfam. NCBI's taxonomy places the organism in Bacteria, Pseudomonadati, Pseudomonadota, Alphaproteobacteria, Rhodobacterales, Roseobacteraceae.
UUCAUGGGGACGACAGCGACUUCCCCGUGAGGCUUUGGCCCAAUGUCGCAUCCUGAACUCGAUUGCUCAGAGGAUGCCAUG